AUUGAACGCUGGCGGCAGGCCUAACACAUGCAAGUCGAGCGAGCGGCGGACGCGUGAGUAAAGUCUGUGAAACUGUCUGAUGGAGGGGGAUAUCUACUGGAAACGGUUGCUCAUAUCGCAUACUACCAGAUGUGUCCAGAUGGGAUUAGCUAGUAGGUGGGGUAACGGCUCACCUAGGCGACGAUCCCUAGCUGGUCUGAGAGGAGGACCAGCCACACUGGAACUGAGAAACGGUCCAGACUCCUACGGGAGGCAGCAGUGGGGAAUAUUGCACAAGGGGCGCAAGCCUGAUGCAGCCAUGCCGCGUGUGUGAAGAAGGCCUUCGGGUUGUAAAGCACUUUCAGCGGGGAGGCGUUACCCGCAGAAGAAGCACCGGCUAACUCCGUGCCAGCAGCCGCGGUAAUUC
RNAcentral lists this ribosomal RNA (406 nucleotides) under uncultured bacterium. Its description in RNAcentral is "partial 16S ribosomal RNA". It matches the Rfam family "Bacterial small subunit ribosomal RNA", at positions 30 to 526 of the family's 1533-position model. The record is from RNAcentral.